RNAcentral lists this long non-coding RNA (763 nucleotides) under Mus caroli (Ryukyu mouse). Its description in RNAcentral is "predicted gene 11636 (MGP_CAROLIEiJ_G0004807.1)". Lineage: Eukaryota; Metazoa; Chordata; Mammalia; Rodentia; Muridae. The record is from RNAcentral.
AGUAAGUCUGUAACCGAGUGUAUACAGGACCCUCAGAGGCCAGCGGAGGGUAUCUGGUUCCCUGGAACUAGAGCUGUGAGCUGCUUUGUGGGAGCUAAAAAUCCAUCCCAGCUCCUUGGGAUGAGCAGCCAGUGCUCUUAACCACUGAGCAUCUCUCCAGCCUAUGUGUACUUUUGUUGUUGUUGUUGUUGUUUGUAUUUUGUUUUUCAAGAUAGGGUUUCUCUGUGUAGCCCUGGCUGUCCUAGAGCUCACUCUGUAGACCAGGCAGGCGAAUCUCUGAGUUUGAGGCUAACUUAGUUACGUUGUAAGACCCUGUCACAGAAAGAGAGAGAGAGAAAAGACCAUAAAAAGUGUUAAAAAUUGGCCAGGAAACUGCAUGGUAUUAGCCAGACUGACAAAUACCCAACAGACAGGAAAACUAUUACCGUCUAUGAUUCUGUGGCCAAGUUAGACAUUACUAAUGGAUCCCAGCACUGUGUCCUGCUAACCCAAGUGAUGUCUCAGGAUCUUUCUCCAGGGAGCCACAGGACCCCUGUGUAAGAGUCCUGACUGUCCUGGAACUCACGCUGUAGACCAGGCUGGCCUCGAACUCACAGAGAUCCAUCUGCCUCUGCUUCCCAAGUGCUGGUAUUGAAGACACACACCACCACUGCCCAAGAAAUAACUUCUUUAGCUGUUUCUGGUUAGUAGUUAAAAGUCAGAAUGUCAUGUGCCAGGCAGUGGUGGCGCACGCCAUUAAUCCCAGCAUUCGGGAGGCAGAGGC